Molecule: long non-coding RNA, 1062 nt
Organism: Daphnia magna
Lineage: Eukaryota; Metazoa; Arthropoda; Branchiopoda; Diplostraca; Daphniidae
Exons: 3
Source: RefSeq, a predicted model, not a curated record
AUGAGAUUUUAGGUUUUGAAAUAAUAUUGAGUAGUGCCCUCUCUCUUCUCAGCAAUUGAAGUAAAUUUGCAUGUCUUAAUUUUUUUUGUUUAUCGGAAUUCAUAAAUGACAGGGUUUUUUCUUCCGCACGGCCACCUACUUCAUCUGAUUGCCAACUUGAUAAAUCUACCCAGUCAUUGCGAGAGUUACAUCGUCUUGUGAUUGAGUGACGGAUUUGCCUUGCCCUUGGACGACCUUGCUUUGCAGUUAAUUCACUCGGCGGAAUGGUUGUAGCUUCCAUUUCACUUGGCGGUAUGGUUUUAGCUUCCAUUUCACUCGGCGGAAUGGUUGAUAACAAUACCACCGGAUUGUAAAUUGGCUGAUCCUGAUUGUCCAUGCCUGAAUUGUCUAAGCAAUCGACAUUCUUUAAUUCAUCUUCCGAAAAGUUUAUUGGCAUACUACUGGACGUGCUCUUGGCGAAAGAGCUGUUUCAUGCUUCGGCGAUGGUAGAAGCCGACGGAUUGGUAACAGGAGGAUUCUGUCGUUGGCUGCAUUCAUAUUUGGAGUGAACGUUGCUGCUUGCUGAAUAUGUGGAAGAAGACGGCGUUUGUUUGAGUUAUUCAUCUCGGGAUCUUCAUCUGCAAGAAAGAAAAUAUGAUACGAAAUGGGACCAAAAUGGUUGUUAUGAACGGGAAUGUUGCAAGGAAAAAUCAGGAGUAAAGGAAGUCAGAGAAAAUUUCAAUUUACUGCCCAAGGGAAUGCAAUUCUCGUACAGAAUUAAAAGUCCUAGGAAAGUCGUUUGUCGCCAGAUUGUAGCCUUACCGAAGCGUUGCUGGACACAGACAUUAGAAUUCGUCCAAUUUUUACCCAUGUCAAUUGUGAUUGAUAGAUGAAGAAGUCACGGGUUUUAUUCGAUCUACUUUCCCGUACAGCGAUCGGUUCCGAAGGAGAUAAAAAACAUCUCAUCAAUCGAAGAACGUCCCGGUGAUCGUAUAUAGCUUUACAGUGUUCAGAAUGUCUGUUACGUUUAUUAACAUUUUGUUUUUUAUUUUUCAAUGUAACAAUUUUUAAUGAGAACAAUAC